UGCAGUCGUACGGUAACAGGCAAGCAGCUUGCUUCUUUGCUGACGAGUGGCGGACGGGUGAGUAAUGUCUGGGAAACUGCCUGAUGGAGGGGGAUAACUACUGGAAACGGUAGCUAAUACCGCAUAACGUCGCAAGACCAAAGAGGGGGACCUUCGGGCCUCUUGCCAUCGGAUGUGCCCAGAUGGGAUUAGCUAGUAGGUGGGGUAACGGCUCACCUAGGCGACGAUCCCUAGCUGGUCUGAGAGGAUGACCAGCCACACUGGAACUGAGACACGGUCCAGACUCCUACGGGAGGCAGCAGUGGGGAAUAUUGCACAAUGGGCGCAAGCCUGAUGCAGCCAUGCCGCGUGUAUGAAGAAGGCCUUCGGGUUGUAAAGUACUUUCAGCGGGGAGGAAGGGAGUAAAGUUAAUACCUUUGCUCAUUGACGUUACCCGCAGAAGAAGCACCGGCUAACUCCGUGCCAGCAGCCGCGGUAAUACGGAGGGUGCAAGCGUUAAUCGGAAUUACUGGGCGUAAAGCGCACGCAGGCGGUUUGUUAAGUCAGAUGUGAAAUCCCCGGGCUCAACCUGGGAACUGCAUCUGAUACUGGCAAGCUUGAGUCUCGUAGAGGGGGGUAGAAUUCCAGGUGUAGCGGUGAAAUGCGUAGAGAUCUGGAGGAAUACCGGUGGCGAAGGCGGCCCGCUGGACGAAGACUGACGCUCAUGUGCGAAAGCGUGGGGAGCAAAACAGGAUUAGAUACCCUGGUAGUCCACGCGGUAAACGAUGUCGACUUGGAGGUUGUGCCCUUGAGGCGUGGCUUCCGGAGCUAACGCGUUAAGUCGACCGCCUGGGGAGUACGGCCGCAAGGUUAAAACUCAAAUGAAUUGACGGGGGCCCGCACAAGCGGUGGAGCAUGUGGUUUAAUUCGAUGCAACGCGAAGAACCUUACCUGGUCUUGACAUCCACGGAAGUUUUCAGAGAUGAGAAUGUGCCUUCGGGAACCGUGAGACAGGUGCUGCAUGGCUGUCGUCAGCUCGUGUUGUGAAAUGUUGGGUUAAGUCCCGCAACGAGCGCAACCCUUAUCCUUUGUUGCCAGCGGUCCGGCCGGGAACUCAAAGGAGACUGCCAGUGAUAAACUGGAGGAAGGUGGGGAUGACGUCAAGUCAUCAUGGCCCUUACGACCAGGGCUACACACGUGCUACAAUGGCGCAUACAAAGAGAAGCGACCUCGCGAGAGCAAGCGGACCUCAUAAAGUGCGUCGUAGUCCGGAUUGGAGUCUGCAACUCGACUCCAUGAAGUCGGAAUCGCUAGUAAUCGUGGAUCAGAAUGCCACGGUGAAUACGUUCCCGGGCCUUGUACACACCGCCCGUCACACCAUGGGAGUGGGUUGCAAAAGAAGUAGGUAGC
RNAcentral lists this ribosomal RNA (1389 nucleotides) under uncultured bacterium. RNAcentral describes it as "bacterial SSU rRNA". It matches the Rfam family "Bacterial small subunit ribosomal RNA", at positions 56 to 1434 of the family's 1533-position model. The record is from RNAcentral.